This 305-nucleotide ribosomal RNA is filed under the name uncultured bacterium. RNAcentral's name for it is "partial 16S ribosomal RNA". It matches the Rfam family "Bacterial small subunit ribosomal RNA", at positions 506 to 808 of the family's 1533-position model. The record is from RNAcentral.
ACAGCAGCAGCCACGGUAAUACGGGGGGGGCAAGUGUUAUUCGGAAUGACUGGGCGUAAAGGGCACGUAGGCGGUGAAAAGGGUGGAAAGUGAAAGUCGCCAAAACACUGGCGGGGUGCUUUCUUGACCAUUUCACUUGAGUGAGAUAGGGGAGAGUGGAAUUUCGUGUGGAGGGAUCAAAUCCUAAGAUAUACGAAGGAACGCCAACCGCGAAGGCAGCUCUCUGGGUCCCCACUGACGCUGGGGUGCGAAAGCAUGGGGAGCAAACAGGAUCAGAUACCCCUGUAGUCCCUGUCUCUUAUACA